Etheostoma spectabile (orangethroat darter) is the source of this 109-nucleotide long non-coding RNA. RefSeq lists it as uncharacterized. The transcript has 4 exons. Lineage: Eukaryota; Metazoa; Chordata; Actinopteri; Perciformes; Percidae. The record is from RefSeq and is a predicted model, not a curated record.
AUUUUUAACUCCUUUAUUUUCAAACUUGUAGUCUUCAGCUGCAACCGAUGCUGCUGACUCAUGUGACAUCACUUGAGGCAAUUUUGGACUUAACGCUACUCCCUCUGGA